GACGAACGCUGGCGGCGUGCUUAACACAUGCAAGUCGAACGGAAAGGCCCUGCUUUUGUGGGGUGCUCGAGUGGCGAACGGGUGAGUAACACGUGAGUAACCUGCCCUUGACUUUGGGAUAACUUCAGGAAACUGGGGCUAAUACCGGAUAUGAGCUCCUGCUGCAUGGUGGGGGUUGGAAAGUUUCGGCGGUUGGGGAUGGACUCGCGGCUUAUCAGCUUGUUGGUGGGGUAGUGGCUUACCAAGGCUUUGACGGGUAGCCGGCCGGAGAGGGUGACCGGCGACAUUGGGACGGAGAUACGGCCCAGACUCCGACGGGAGGCAGCAGUGGGGAAUAUUGCACAAUGGGCGGAAGCCUGAUGCAGCAACGCCGCGUGCGGGAUGACGGCCUUCGGGUUGUAAACCGCUUGCGCCUGUGACGAAGCGUGAGUGACGGUAAUGGGUAAAGAAGCACCGGCUAACUACGUG
Molecule: ribosomal RNA, 468 nt
Filed under: uncultured bacterium
Lineage: Bacteria
Description: partial 16S ribosomal RNA
Rfam family: Bacterial small subunit ribosomal RNA
Source: RNAcentral